RNAcentral lists this ribosomal RNA (324 nucleotides) under uncultured Actinomycetes bacterium. Its description in RNAcentral is "bacterial SSU rRNA". It matches the Rfam family "Bacterial small subunit ribosomal RNA", at positions 28 to 351 of the family's 1533-position model. Lineage: Bacteria; Bacillati; Actinomycetota; Actinomycetes. The record is from RNAcentral.
GAUGAACGCUGGCGGCGUGCUUAACACAUGCAAGUCGAACGAUUAAAGCCCCUUCGGGGGUGUAUAAAGUGGCGAACGGGUGAGUAACACGUGGGCAAUCUGCCCCUCACUUCGGGAUAACUCAGGGAAACUUGAGCUAAUACCGAAUACUCCGAGUUGAUCGCAUGAUCGACUCGGGAAAGCUCCGACGGUGAGGGAUGAGCCCGCGGCCCAUUAGCUUGUUGGUGAGGUAACGGCUCACCAAGGCAACGAUGGGUAGCCGAGCUGAGAGGCUGAUCGGCCACACUGGGACUGAGACACGGCCCAGACUCCUACGGGAGGCUG